Molecule: transfer RNA, 73 nt
Filed under: Stegodyphus mimosarum
Lineage: Eukaryota; Metazoa; Arthropoda; Arachnida; Araneae; Eresidae
Rfam family: tRNA
About the family: Transfer RNA (tRNA) molecules are approximately 80 nucleotides in length. Their secondary structure includes four short double-helical elements and three loops (D, anti-codon, and T loops).
Source: Rfam by way of RNAcentral
GCCCUCGUGGUGUAAUGGUCAGCACGCUGGGCUCGUAUUCCAGAGGUCCAUGAUCCGAGUCCCGGCGAAGGCG